AUUGAACGCUGGCGGCAGGCCUAACACAUGCAAGUCGAGCGGCAGCGACUUAACUGAACCUUCGGGGAACGUUAAGGGCGGCGAGCGGCGGACGGGUGAGUAAUGCCUGGGAAUAUGCCCUGAUGUGGGGGAUAACUAUUGGAAACGAUAGCUAAUACCGCAUAAUCUCUUCGGAGCAAAGAGGGGGACCUUCGGGCCUCUCGCGUCAGGAUUAGCCCAGGUGGGAUUAGCUUGUUGGUGAGGUAAUGGCUCACCAAGGCAACGAUCCCUAGCUGGUCUGAGAGGAUGAUCAGCCACACUGGAACUGAGACACGGUCCAGACUCCUACGGGAGGCAGCAGUGGGGAAUAUUGCACAAUGGGGGAAACCCUGAUGCAGCCAUGCCGCGUGUGUGAAGAAGGCCUUCGGGUUGUAAAGCACUUUCAGUAGGGAGGAAGGUAGUGUAGUUAACACCUGCAUUAUUUGACGUUACCUACAGAAGAAGCACCGGCUAACUCCGUGCCAGCAGCCGCGGUAAUACGGAGGGUGCGAGCGUUAAUCGGAAUUACUGGGCGUAAAGCGCAUGCAGGCGGCCUGUUAAGUCAGAUGUGAAAGCCCGGGGCUUAACCUCGGAAUUGCAUUUGAAACUGGCAGGCUAGAGUCUUGUAGAGGGGGGUAGAAUUUCAGGUGUAGCGGUGAAAUGCGUAUAGAUCUGAAGGAAUACCAGUGGCGAAGCGGCCCCCUGGACAAAGACUGACGCUCAGAUGCGAAAGCGUGGGGAGCAAACAGG
Molecule: ribosomal RNA, 768 nt
Filed under: uncultured bacterium
Lineage: Bacteria
Description: bacterial SSU rRNA
Rfam family: Bacterial small subunit ribosomal RNA
Source: RNAcentral